CCAGACUCCUACGGGAGGCAGCAGUGGGGGAUGUUGCACAAUGGGGGAAACCCUGAUGCAGCGACGCCGCGUGAGUGAAGAAGUAAUUCGUUACGUAAAGCUCUAUCAGCAGGGAAGAAAAUGACGGUACCUGACUAAGAAGCCCCGGCUAACUACGUGCCAGCAGCCGCGGUAAUACGUAGGGGGCAAGCGUUAUCCGGAAUUACUGGGUGUAAAGCGCUCGUAGGCGGUAUGUCAAGUCAAGGGUGAAAUCCCCGCGCUCAACGUGGGAACUGCCUUUGAAACUGGCAAACUGGAGUGUGUGAGAGGAUAGUGGAAUUCCAGGUGUAGGAGUGAAAUCCGUAGAUAUCUGGAGGAACAUCAGUGGCGAAGGCGACUAUCUGGCACAUAACUGACGCUGAGGAGCGAAAGCGUGGGUAGCAAACAGGAUUAGAUACCCUGGUAAG
This 446-nucleotide ribosomal RNA is filed under the name uncultured bacterium. Its description in RNAcentral is "bacterial SSU rRNA". It matches the Rfam family "Bacterial small subunit ribosomal RNA", at positions 331 to 793 of the family's 1533-position model. The record is from RNAcentral.